GAUGAACGCUGGCGGCGUGCCUAAUACAUGCAAGUCGAGCGAACAGACGAGGAGCUUGUUCCUCUGACGUUUGCGGAGGACGGGUGAGUAACACGUGUAUCCUCUACUUAUAAGACUGGGAUAACUUCGGGAAACCGGAGCUAAUACCGGAUAAUAUAUUGCACCGCAUGGUUCAAUAGUGAAAGACGGUUUUGCUGUCACUUCUAGAUGGAUCCGCGCCGCAUUAGCUAGUUGGUAAGGUAACGGCUUACCAAGGCAACGCUGCGUAGCCGACGUGAGAGAGUGAUCGGCCACACUGGAACUGAGACAGGGUCCAGACUCCUACGGUAGGCAGCAGUAGGCAAUCUUACGCAAUGGGCGAAAGCUUUACGGAGCAACGCCGCGUGAGUUAUGAAGGUCUUCGGUGCGUAAAACCCUGUUAUUGGUGAAGAACAAAUUUGUAAGUAACUAUGCACGUCUUGACGGUACCUAAUCAGAAAGCCACGGCUAACUACGUG
RNAcentral lists this ribosomal RNA (497 nucleotides) under uncultured bacterium. Its description in RNAcentral is "partial 16S ribosomal RNA". It matches the Rfam family "Bacterial small subunit ribosomal RNA", at positions 28 to 507 of the family's 1533-position model. The record is from RNAcentral.